RNAcentral lists this ribosomal RNA (255 nucleotides) under uncultured bacterium. RNAcentral describes it as "partial 16S ribosomal RNA". It matches the Rfam family "Bacterial small subunit ribosomal RNA", at positions 524 to 777 of the family's 1533-position model. The record is from RNAcentral.
UACGGAGGGGGGCUAGCGUUGUUCGGAAUUACUGGGCGUAAAGCGCACGUAGGCGGCUUUGUAAGUUAGAGGUGAAAGCCCGGGGCUCAACUCCGGAAUUGCCUUUAAGACUGCAUCGCUAGAAUUGUGGAGAGGUAAGUGGAAUUCCGAGUGUAGAGGUGAAGUUCGUAGAUAUUCGGAAGAACACCAGUGGCGAAGGCGACUUACUGGACACAUAUUGACGCUGAGGUGCGAAAGCGUGGGGAGCAAACAGGG